This 472-nucleotide ribosomal RNA is filed under the name uncultured bacterium. RNAcentral's name for it is "bacterial SSU rRNA". It matches the Rfam family "Bacterial small subunit ribosomal RNA", at positions 355 to 825 of the family's 1533-position model. The record is from RNAcentral.
UGGGGAAUAUUGGACAAUGGGGGGAACCCUGAUCCAGCAAUGCCGCGUGUGUGAAGAAGGCCUGAGGGUUGUAAAGCACUUUCAGAGGGGAGGAGGACUAUUAGGUUAAGAGCUAGAUAGUUGGACGUUACCCUCAGAAGCAGCACCGGCUAACUCCGUGCCAGCAGCCGCGGUAAUACGGGGGGUGCAAGCGUUAAUCGGAAUUAUUGGGCGUAAAGGGCGCGUAGGCGGGGAUAUAAGUCAGAUGUGAAAUCCUGGGGCUCAACCUCAGAACUGCAUUUGAAACUGUAACUCUAGAGGAUAGGAGGAGAAGACGGAAUUCCACAAGUAGCGGUGAAAUGCGUAGAUAUCGGAAGGAACACCAGUGGCGAAGGCGGCUUCCUGGUCCAACACUGACGCUGAGGCGCGAAAGCGUGGGGAGCAAACAGGAUUAGAUACCCGUGUAGUCCCUGAGCGGGCUGGCAAGGCGCAU